Molecule: unclassified non-coding RNA, 253 nt
Filed under: uncultured Alphaproteobacteria bacterium
Lineage: Bacteria; Pseudomonadati; Pseudomonadota; Alphaproteobacteria
Description: contains 16S-23S intergenic spacer region
Rfam family: Bacterial small subunit ribosomal RNA
Source: RNAcentral
UACGGAGGGGGCUAGCGUUGUUCGGAAUCACUGGGCGUAAAGCGCGCGUAGGCGGCUUGAAAAGUUGGAUGUGAAAUCCCGGGGCUCAACCCCGGAACUGCAUUCAAAACUUUCUGGCUAGAGACUUAGAGAGGUGGGCGGAAUUCCGAGUGUAGAGGUGAAAUUCGUAGAUAUUCGGAAGAACACCGGUUGCGAAGGCGGCUCACUGGCUAAGUUCUGACGCUGAGGUGCGAAAGCGUGGGGAGCAAACAGG